GGGAAUCUGCCCCUUGGUUCGGAAUAACCGUUGGAAACGACGGCUAAUACCGGAUGAUGACGUAAGUCCAAAGAUUUAUCGCCGAGGGAUGAGCCCGCGUAGGAUUAGGUAGUUGGUGUGGUAAAGGCGCACCAAGCCGACGAUCCUUAGCUGGUCUGAGAGGAUGAUCAGCCACACUGGGACUGAGACGCGGCCCAGACUCCUACGGGAGGCAGCAGUGGGGAAUAUUGGACAAUGGGCGAAAGCCUGAUCCAGCAAUGCCGCGUGAGUGAUGAAGGCCUUAGGGUUGUAAAGCUCUUUUACCCGGGAUGAUAAUGACAGUACCGGGAGAAUAAGCUCCGGCUAACUCCGUGCCAGCAGCCGCGGUAAUACGGAGGGAGCUAGCGUUAUUCGGAAUUACUGGGCGUAAAGCGCACGUAGGCGGCUUUGUAAGUUAGAGGUGAAAGCCCAGAGCUCAACUCUGGAAUUGCCUUUGAUACUGCAUCGCUUGAAUCCAGGAGAGGUGAGUGGAAUUCCGAGU
Molecule: ribosomal RNA, 520 nt
Filed under: uncultured bacterium
Lineage: Bacteria
Description: bacterial SSU rRNA
Rfam family: Bacterial small subunit ribosomal RNA
Source: RNAcentral